RNAcentral lists this ribosomal RNA (276 nucleotides) under Triticum aestivum (bread wheat). Its description in RNAcentral is "partial small subunit ribosomal RNA". Lineage: Eukaryota; Viridiplantae; Streptophyta; Magnoliopsida; Poales; Poaceae. The record is from RNAcentral.
AUGCAAGAUUAUUUUUCGGAGAAUCUUACAUAUCCUGCACACCUCUUCUGCAGAAGGUACCGAAUGCGCCGAUCCCUUUUUGUGAAAAUUGUUGAAGCUUGCGAGGCAAAUUGCCGGUAUUUCACUCAGAGAAGGAAUGCCGCGGGCUUAAAGGGAUUUAGUGCAUAUCAAAAAAUCUCCGCAGCUAUGCGGGUGAUUGCAUAUGGCGUUCCGGCUGACUAUGCCGAUGAGUAUCUUCGCAUUGGUGAAGAUAGCACAAUUGAGGUUGGACAGUGA